CACAUAUCUUUUCCACUCAUUCCUGGAUUCUUGAGGAAGAUCCACUUAAAAUGCAAGUGUUAAAUACGGUGAUGGGGCCGGAUGGGCCUAGGGUGAUAAACACACUUAUUCUGAGCAUUGAUAGUUAUGCAUAGGACUGUAUGGGGCUGGCGUAGCCCCAGCGGCAUAGGUUCUACUGAGACCUAUCCCCAGAUGGGAGCCAUAAGCACAUGGGCAAUUGUACAGCCAUGUAACCACACCAGUAACUGGCUAGAACCAAGAGCUCCAAAGCUACACAGACAGGUUCCAGUCCUGCUUCUGCCUCCCCUGCUCAGUGCCUGUGUUCACCCAUGGGCAAACCAAGCUCUAAAUAGGAUGAAGCAUGGCAACUACUCAGCACAGUAUCUGGUACAGAGUAAGCCCUCAGAAAUGAUAGUAUUAUUAUUAACAAUAGUAUUAUUCAUCCGAAGUACCUGGGGCUGCGUAUAUCUCAGUUCUCUUUUCCUCCUGGGCAAUUUCCAUUUUCUAAACCGAAGUCCUGCUUUUUCAGCAAGGAAACUGCUAAAUGCUCCCGCAUCAGCGUGUAUGUCUGUGUGUGCGUCUGUGUGUGUGUGUGUGUGUAGGGGCAAGGGGCUCAAGUGUUGGAAGUGGCCCAGCGCGUGUGUGUGUAUGUGUGUAGGGGCUGGGGGGCUUAAAUGUUGCAGGUGGUGCAACGUGUGUGUGUGUGUGUGUGUGUGUCUAAGGGCUGGGGGCUCAAGUGUUGGAAGUGGUGCAGCGUGUGUGUUUGUGUGUGUGUGUUUGCGUGCGUGUAUGGGUGUGUGUAAGGGCUGGGGGCUCAGGCACUGGAGGUGGCUCCGCGUGUGUGUGUGUGUUCAGGGGCUGGGGGCUCAACUGUCAGAGGUGGCCCAGAGGCCGGUUAGAGACUGGGAGGGAGGGCAGAGGCAAGAGAGUCAGCGGGUGCUCUCGCGAGAGUUCACCGAGUUGGUAAAGUUAUUAAAACACAAAAUACACAUUUGCACCAGGAAAAAAAACAACCCCCCGCUUGUCCCGCCCUGUCCCUCCAGGCUGCGCAACGCUGGAGGGCGAUGGGAGCGCGAGACAGAUCUCGUCUCCAUGUACUUUACCUUUCCCUGUACCUCUGCUUGUCUGAGAGGUCUCAAGAUCAUCAUUUGGGACCUCCACUUCUGCUGGGUCUGUCAUCUUAGAUCGCCUUGAUCUUCAGCAUCUUUGUGAAGUUGAACAGGGGAACGACUCUUAUUAUGGAGCUUCUCGCCUUGUAAACAGCGUGUUGGCACGUGUGGAAGCCGAGCCAUGCAGCUCCGUCUCUGGCUUCUGCAAAGCGGCAUGAGGCCUGCUGUUGGUGUGCAGGGGAGUGCAGGCCAACCACACCCCAGGAAUGGGAAACCUUCUUUCGCUCCCAGGAGAGGCUGUGGCAGAGCCAGAGCUAGACUGUGCCUUUACAGAGCAUUUGCUUCUUAUGAACCUGCUCCAAAAUCACUGAUGAGCUCACAAAAGAGAAGCCAUAAAUCAGCAGGCUGGGGCUGGGUCCUUUGCUCACAGCAGGCAGAAGAUGCACCAUGGACCUCCCUCCAAAGGCCCUUUCACCACCACAUUAUCUAUCCUGCCUUCCCACCUUCCCACUGGUCCUGCAGCAGCCCAGCUCCCCAGCUCCUGGAGGCCUGGCGGGUGUCUGCCAUUCAUAUGGUUAAGCUUCCCCAGACCUGCCCGUGUGGGCCCCACCUUGCCACUCCCACCUGUCUGCUCCCAGGACAGCAAUUGUGCAAGAAGCCCCACAGGUGAGCGGGCAGAAGGGCGACAGCCAAAGAGCCUCUCUGCCACGACGCUGGGGCGGGGAGGCUACCUGGCAGCCACUGGAGCGUGGUGACGUGGGCAUGAAGCCUGAGCACCCAGCUCAUCAGAUGACAGAAAGCCUCGGGUAAGAAGAGACCUCCGUGGGAUGCAGUGAUGCCACAGUAGAGGCCUGCUAAGUACCCAGAAGAGUCACUUUAUGUGGGUAUAGACCCUGAGCAUGACUGCACCCACUUGGUCAGCUGUCCAGGCCACGGUCCCUCUGAGGCAAAUCUCGACUUUUCUCCACGUGCCAAAAGAAAACCAUAAUCUGACCGCUGAAGAAAUGGAAAGUGGUGUAGCUUUGACUGAAGCUUUCCUGGGGAAAUGGAAGAGGGGGUUACGUCAAAUACUACAGGGUUUCUGGAAGUCUCUUGUACAUAUCCAUGACCCCACUCCUCCUGCAGCUGCUGCUUCCUCCCUUUGGUGUACCCCAACAACCUCGCCUGCCGUCUCUCCUUUCUCCUGGUUCUGUGUCCCUCUCAGCUGCCCCUCAAAAACCCUUCAACUUCCACAUCUCACUCUGCAAAGCGGGAGGGGUGACUCUUGGCAACGUAGAAGUCUAGUUAGCAAAUUGCAGAGCAAAAGCAAGUCUGGGAAGCCUUAUGUCACCCAUUAAUAUACCCAUUGUUUUUUAAUUUAUUCAUUUUAAAAGUAUUAUAUGUUUUACUCAAACAGAAAGUGAUAGAUCCCAUGUACUGGCCAAUCUGAUCUGACCAAUUUUAACAUUUUCCCCUAUCUUUUCUUUGGAUCUCCCAUUCUCUUUCUCUCUCCCUGACCCUUCUCUCUCUUUUUCUCUCUCUAAAACAUAUUAUAUGGAAGGUAAAGCCCCAAAGGCCAUUUCUAUUAUAUUUUCUCCAUGUCUAGAAUCAGCCCUAUGCAUGUCUGGUGCCAUUUGGUCUGAAUCCAGGAUGGCACUGUGCUUAUGAGCACAGACUUGGAAGCCAGCCUGGCUCUCAGUUCCAACUCUGCACCAACUAGCUGAGUAACCUGGAAGAAGUUGCUUAACUUUGCUCUGCCUCAGUCAAAUAAGAAAGAGGAUAGUAAAUCAAUUCUAUGUGCAAUCAUCAAAUGUUGAUACAUUUAAAGUGUCUGGAGCAGAGCCUGGAAAAAAAUAAAUGCUUAAUAUAUAUUAACUAUUAUUAUGAUCCAUGAAUAAUAAACAGAAUGGCUUUUUGGUGUGUUUUUAAGAUUUGUCUAAAG
Long non-coding RNA from Rhinopithecus bieti (black snub-nosed monkey), 3030 nucleotides. The record is from Ensembl. NCBI's taxonomy places the organism in Eukaryota, Metazoa, Chordata, Mammalia, Primates, Cercopithecidae.